UACGUAGGGUGCAAGCGUUGUCCGGAAUUAUUGGGCGUAAAGAGCUCGUAGGCGGUUUGUCGCGUCGACUGUGAAAACCCGAGGCUUAACCUCGGGCCUGCAGUCGAUACGGGCAGACUAGAGUUCGGUAGGGGAGACUGGAAUUCCUGGUGUAGCGGUGAAAUGCGCAGAUAUCAGGAGGAACACCAAUUGCGAAGGCAGCUCGGUGGGACGUUACUGACGCUGAGACGCGAAAGCGGGGGGAGCAAACAGG
RNAcentral lists this ribosomal RNA (253 nucleotides) under uncultured bacterium. RNAcentral describes it as "partial 16S ribosomal RNA". It matches the Rfam family "Bacterial small subunit ribosomal RNA", at positions 524 to 776 of the family's 1533-position model. The record is from RNAcentral.